GCGGUAAUACGUAGGGUGCAAGCGUUAAUCGGAAUUACUGGGCGUAAAGCGUGCGCAGGCGGUUCGGAAAGAAAGAUGUGAAAUCCCAGGGCUCAACCUUGGAACUGCAUUUUUAACUACCGAACUAGAGUAUGUCAGAGGGGGGUGGAAUUCCACGUGUAGCAGUGAAAUGCGUAGAUAUGUGGAGGAACACCGAUGGCGAAGGCAGCCCCCUGGGAUAAUACUGACGCUCAUGCACGAAAGCGUGGGGAGCAAACAGGAUUA
This 264-nucleotide ribosomal RNA is filed under the name Advenella incenata. RNAcentral describes it as "partial 16S ribosomal RNA". It matches the Rfam family "Bacterial small subunit ribosomal RNA", at positions 517 to 780 of the family's 1533-position model. Lineage: Bacteria; Pseudomonadati; Pseudomonadota; Betaproteobacteria; Burkholderiales; Alcaligenaceae. The record is from RNAcentral.